RNAcentral lists this long non-coding RNA (287 nucleotides) under Setaria viridis. RNAcentral's name for it is "long non-coding RNA (SVIR_LNC000420)". Lineage: Eukaryota; Viridiplantae; Streptophyta; Magnoliopsida; Poales; Poaceae. The record is from RNAcentral.
UUAGAGACUAUCGAAGGAGAGGAAUUCACAAGAGCUUUAAAUGGAAGGUAUCUGAAGAGAUAUUAUCCUAGCAUAUGGGUGGACGCGUAGCAAACGAUAUGGCAUGUCGAGACGUUGUGGCCGACUCCUAUUGACUCGUGUUCAUAUAGCCGAUGCAAGGAGACAUCGCCUUGAGGACGGAACCUUUGACCAGUCUGGCCGAUUUAUUAUUCGGUACAGCAAUAGGAUACAUGGCCGAUACGGUACAAGUCGCCCUUAGACCAAAAGUACCAAUACAUUCAUUAACC